CCUACGGGUGGCAGCAGUGGGGAAUAUUGGGCAAUGGGCGCAAGCCUGACCCAGCAACGCAGCGUGAAGGAAGAAGGCUCUCGGGUUGUAAACUUCUUUUUAGAGGGAAGUGCAGAGGACGGUACCUCUUGAAUAAGCCAUGGCUAACGACGUGCCAGCAGCUGCGGCAAUACGGAGGUCGCAAGCGUUGUCCGGAUUUACUGGGUGUAAAGGGCGUGUAGCUGGGAAGAGAAGUCAGAUGUGAAAGUCCGCGGCUCAACCGCGAAACUGCAUUUGAAACUGGUAUUCUUGAGUACCGUAGAGGUAAGCGGAAUUCGUUGUGUAGCGGUGAAAUGCGUAGAUAUAAGGAAGAACACCAGUGGCGAAGGCAGAUGACUAAACGGCAACUGACAGUGAGGCGCGAAAGCGUGGGGAGCAAACAGGAUUAGAUACCCGAGUAGUC
RNAcentral lists this ribosomal RNA (442 nucleotides) under uncultured bacterium. RNAcentral describes it as "partial 16S ribosomal RNA". It matches the Rfam family "Bacterial small subunit ribosomal RNA", at positions 338 to 795 of the family's 1533-position model. The record is from RNAcentral.